Molecule: long non-coding RNA, 592 nt
Organism: Oreochromis niloticus (Nile tilapia)
Lineage: Eukaryota; Metazoa; Chordata; Actinopteri; Cichliformes; Cichlidae
Exons: 2
Source: RefSeq, a predicted model, not a curated record
UUCAGGUCAGGUUUAUAAAGGCAGUGUAACAAAGGAGGAGACACAGAGUGAGUUACGCAAGUUAAUGUUCAAAGUAAGUUUAGCUGAAAAUGACAGCUCGGUAAAAGUGCUUCCAUCAAUUAACUCACUUUGACAAGGAGUCUAAAUUUACAAUACAGUGCUUCAGAACAGCUGUAAGAAAAACAGCACGUGGUCUGAUAUGUGGACGCAUGCGUCAGAUUGUAGUAAAUUUGUGCAAUAUUCUAUGUUGGUUUAGGGGAAGGCUCAUUUGAUACAUUCACCCAGUGAUCAUGACCAAAAACAUGGACCAAUGAAACACUGUGCAAACAGAAACAAAUAAAGAUAGAUAAGAAGCAGAUUGACUUUGACCACAAUGAUUGCACAUAAAAUGUGUCACAAAGCAGAAUGCCUGGUUAAUAUUUUGUUAAAAUGAAACCAAACAGUAAUACCUCGAGCAACUCCGAAGCAUGUCUAUGUCAAGAAAACACCAAGCAAGCACUUGCCUAACUAAUGCAACCAACACAGACGGAACUGUCUUCAAGCAUCACAACAGUAAUGAGAAUAUCAGAUGGAGGAAGCCAGUUCCUGCAAA